RNAcentral lists this ribosomal RNA (481 nucleotides) under uncultured bacterium. RNAcentral's name for it is "partial 16S ribosomal RNA". It matches the Rfam family "Bacterial small subunit ribosomal RNA", at positions 28 to 507 of the family's 1533-position model. The record is from RNAcentral.
GAUGAACGCUGGCGGUGUGCUUAACACAUGCAAGUCGAACGAAGCACUUUAUUUGAUUUCCUUCGGGACUGAUUAUUUUGUGACUGAGUGGCGGACGGGUGAGUAACGCGUGGGUAACCUGCCUUGUACAGGGGGAUAACAGUUGGAAACGGCUGCUAAUACCGCAUAAGCGCACAGCAUCGCAUGAUGCAGUGUGAAAAACUCCGGUGGUAUAAGAUGGACCCGCGUUGGAUUAGCUAGUUGGUGAGGUAACGGCCCACCAAGGCGACGAUCCAUAGCCGACCUGAGAGGGUGACCGGCCACAUUGGGACUGAGACACGGCCCAAACUCCUACGGGAGGCAGCAGUGGGGAAUAUUGCACAAUGGGCGAAAGCGUGAUGCAGCGACGCCGCGUGAGCGAAGAAGUAUUUCGGUAUGUAAAGCUCUAUCAGCAGGGAAGAUAAUGACGGUACCUGACUAAGAAGCACCGGCUAAAUACGUG